GCAAACAUGGGCUCGCCCAUAUGUGAGGGGAGCGGCUGGACUGCUGGAAAGGAGGCUGCUUUGUAAACUCUGAAAGACACCAACCAACCAGUCCCGAGAAAUACACCUGCACUCAAGCCACCAGAUCCACGAAACCAAGCAACCAUCAAAAAGGGGAAAAUAACAUUUUCUCUAGAAACCUCAUCUGAGAGAGUGGAGCCAGAGUUCAGUUAUAUCUGAUUUUCAUUUCUUUACAGGGUUAAAAGGAAAUAAAUGACUAUUGUGGUGAACAUACCUGCCUUUAUGGCAAUGAGGGCACCUACCACAAUUACACCACCAGCUACAGCUACAACACGGCCCUCUUCAGAGAGAGACGGUAACACAGAUCUGUUCAGCAAGAACAAGAUGGCCUAAUAGAAUGAAAUCCUUCCCAAGGUCCAAGAUCCAACCUAGCCCCUUUCCCCUGAGGCCAUUCCUGAUGCUCCCACAUGG
Lontra canadensis (Northern American river otter) is the source of this 471-nucleotide long non-coding RNA. RefSeq lists it as uncharacterized. The transcript has 2 exons. The record is from RefSeq and is a predicted model, not a curated record. Lineage: Eukaryota; Metazoa; Chordata; Mammalia; Carnivora; Mustelidae.